Non-coding RNA from Glycine soja, 74 nucleotides. The record is from Rfam. NCBI's taxonomy places the organism in Eukaryota, Viridiplantae, Streptophyta, Magnoliopsida, Fabales, Fabaceae.
GAUUUAUUAGUUAAGUUGGUUAAAAUGUUGCAUUAAUAAUGCAAAAGUUACAAGUUUAAUUCCUGCUUGAAUCA